Long non-coding RNA from Melospiza melodia melodia, 343 nucleotides. RefSeq lists it as uncharacterized. The transcript has 3 exons. The record is from RefSeq and is a predicted model, not a curated record. Lineage: Eukaryota; Metazoa; Chordata; Aves; Passeriformes; Passerellidae.
GUCUCCUUGGGCCAGGCUCCUCUCCAGCAUCUCCAGGGUCAGCCUGCUGCUGCUGCUGGGCUCUGUGCUCCUCUCCUGCUCCAGCCUGGGACAGAGAGUGCCUGAGUUAGCCCUUACAAAAAUAGAAGAGAGCGACAUAAAAGAUGACAGUGGGAAGGAGCUGGGGACAGAGGAUGACGCUGAUCCUGAAGUCCUGGAAGUGUUUUACCCCACGGGUCAGUGGCAAACCCUGCGUCCAGGUUCUCAAUUCUCCUGGUCAGCUGCCUUGUUCUUCUCUGCCUACAUCCUGUAUUGAUCUUCUCUGAACGUAGCCAAGCCUUCAGCAUCCCAGAUGGUCUUUCUG